RNAcentral lists this long non-coding RNA (6573 nucleotides) under Canis lupus familiaris (dog). RNAcentral describes it as "lncRNA (ENSCAFG00000055427.1)". Lineage: Eukaryota; Metazoa; Chordata; Mammalia; Carnivora; Canidae. The record is from RNAcentral.
UUUUUUUUUUUUAAUAAUUUUAUUUAUUCACUUGAGAGAGAGCAAGUACACAAGGAGGGAGAGGGUCAGAGGGAGAGAAACUCAAACAGACCUCACGCUGAGUAUGGAGCCCAACACGGGGUUAGAUCCCAUGACUUUGAGUCAGAUGCUUAACUGACUGAGCCAGGCAGGCGCACCAGUACUAUUAUUGUUUAUUUACAACCUACACAUUAUUUAAGGCAUAUGAUGGUUGAUGAUUCACAUUUUUUGUAGCAUUAUUUGUAGUUGCAGUAUCGUUAGUACUACUGUUAGCUCCGGCACUGAUUGUAGCUUUGCUGAACUGCAGGUCAUGAAGUUGGGUUAAGCUUUCUGCCUCUGGAGCUUUGGUGCUGCUUUAGAAUGCUUCCUCUUCCAAUAACCCAAACUGAAGCUGAUGGCCUGACAACUCUGUGGCGAGGGACAAAAUCUGAAAGCUACUAUCGUGGAGGAGGCUGUUGGUACAGUAUGGUCUAGUCCGGCACCAAGGCUAUAGGCAGCAGAAACUACCACAGCUCUAAAAGAGUAAGGAUCUGGACAAUCUCACUUGGCUGCCCUUAGCCCUGGCUCCUGUCGUCUUGCUGAAAUAAACCUCGCAGCUUCCUUUAAGCCCGAGAGCUUCUGAAGCAGAGGAGAGAGAGUGACAACCCUUCUCCGAAACAUUAGAGAUGGCAAAGAGGUUACUGUCAAUUUCCUGAAAUCAUGUAUUCAGUUUCAUUUAUUUCUGGUGUGGGAAGUUGUUUUGUCUGCUGAACCAAGUCAGUGCAACAGUAAUUUGAUUAGAAUAAAAAGGCUUUUGUUUUUACUUAGAUUCUGCUUGCUAUUUAAAGCUUCAACUCAGAAAUAUAUUUUUUUUCCUUGGAACUAGAUAGUGUGGGAAUAAACUAAACAACGUUAAAUGAUUGUUCAUGUCUAUAUAUUUUUUCCAUGCAUGUAAAACCAUGAAGAGACAGACUUUUAUACUUGAAAACAAGGAUGUUUUUAAAUCAAAUCAUUAACCUAGGAUUUGCUUGCUCAUUUACCCUGAGUAUUCAGUUUUAGUUGUCUUAUAUGUAAACUGGUACUAAUGGUAUCAACCUAGCAGGAUAGUAUGUAGAUUGAAUUAAUCUACUUAUUUAACAGAUAUACCUGAGAUGUCCCUUAUGCCAGGCACUCAUCAGGGACACAGAAUUCAGCAAUAACCAGAGAGGUACCCUGGGCAUACAUCUCAGGAGGUAGAGUUAGCAUAGAGCCUGGCAGACAGCAGGCACUCAAUAAAUGCCUUUAUCUCCUCCAUAGGGGACCGCUGUGUGGAGGUCCUUCCAGAUUAAAAGAAUGGUAAUCUCUUGUUAAUGGUGUAAAGCAUACAAUAUCUGAAUUUCUAUCAAUCUGAAAUUAUAAUUUAUUUUUCUCUAUUUAUAUAUGCCUUACUCACAAUUCAAUUCUAUGUAUAGGACUUGCUCCUUUAGUUUUAUAUUUUUAAGAUACAUUUUACUCAGUGAGUAUGAUUCUUCCUAAUUUCAAUUCCCUUUUGUCCUGGUUCAAUAUGGCAUCAAUAUGAUAUGUUAGCCUGACAUUCAAGGCAUUUCUCAAAAGUCUUUCUCUCUUUACCUCUCUCUGCUCCUACUACAUCAGACAAGAUUGAUGAUUUACACAUCCCCAAAUAUGGUCUCUGCAUUCCUAAAACCUUGUAUUUUCAUUUAUAUGCCACUGUUUUAUAAUCCCCAUAAACCUAGUUUAGUUAAUCUUUUAAUGUGUGAAUCAAGAGCUCAUUAAAAAAUUAACAAAUAAAUAAAUGAGUAUGCACACAGGUCUAGACUAUGAAUCUCCCAAAAGCAAGGGCUCCUUUCCUAUUAUUUUAUUUAAUACAGAGUACCAUUAGCAUAUACACACAUCUAUACAUUUUAAUUAAUUAAAUAAUUUAGUUUAAAUAAAUUGAAUUACUUGGUUAAUUAACUCAGUUUAAAAUAAUAAUUUCAACAACAGAUGAAUACAUAGAAAAUACUGAAUCUAUGAUUCCAGACACUUGAUUUACUAGGAUUUUCAUUUUAUUCUACUCCAGAAAUUAUAUAAAUUAUAGGUAUCACAAUAAAAGAUUUAAAUUUAUUAUCUAAACAAUUUUUUGUUGUUGUUGUUGUGGAUAAGUAAUGUUCUUAAAGACUGGAGAAAUUUAUUUGAAAAACCGUUUGACCUUGGGGCAUCUGGGUGGCUCAGUCUAUUAAGUGUCCAACUUUGGUUUCGGCUCAGGUCAUGAUCACAAGAGUAUGAGAUUGAGCCCUAUGUUGGGCUCUGUACUCAGCACAAAGUCUGCUUAUCCCUGUCCCUCUGAUCCUCCUCCCACUCCCUCUCUCUUAGAAUGAAUAAAAGUAAACAAACUAAAAAAAAAAAAAAAGAGUUGGACUUUAUUGUAUUUUUACAUAAUGGUGGUUCCAUUUCUUUUAUUAAAAUGUAUGUCAUAUUAGAACGGCACAGUUACCGAUGUACUAGGACGUAAACUUAUGAGUAGAACAGAUUAUGAAGGAAACCAGAAGGGGUAACUUUUCUCUUUUAAAUUUGAGUAUCAUAAAAUAGUUUAGUUGCAUAUUUUUAUUCAAUAUCAAAGGAUCUGUACAGGAUUUAGCCAAUGUUUAACUGAAUAUUAUUACAAAAUGUGACCUUAUUUACUAAAGAAAGUUGGAGAAAAAAUUAAUUACUUUUUAACUGUCAAAUACUGCUUGACAUUCUCCCACUGUUGUGUGUACAAUUACUGCUAACCAUUCACAGCUAUAGUAAGUUUAAAAUCAAAAUGCAGAUAGACAAGUGGCUAAGCAUGCAGUCAAGACAGUCAAAAUGUUGAGAAUUAAUGUGAAAUCUAAUUUUAAUCUAAUUUAUUAUUAUUGAAUUAUUAUCUUAAGUUCCUUUAGGUUUUACAUUUGUAGCUAAUGGUGAGAUAAUCUAAACAGAGGAUAGGGUUUUCACAGAGUAGAGUAGUGGGUUCUCAAGGCUAUCAAACUACACCCUCAAAAGAGGCUUUGCCUAAGUUACAUGUUGAACAAGGUUUUAAUAGGAAGCUCAAGAUAAGGAAUUAGGCAAAAAGUCUGGGUUUAUAGGGUAAGGUUUUUAACUUCAACCAUUUUUGUGUGCUUACACAGUGGUAUGUUAUAUCCAAGUAGCUGUAAAACCUCAAUGGCAGCAAAACUGCACAGAAAUUACAAGAGUUUUCUAUAAGAGCUUCCUAAAUUAAAUUGAUUUUUUUAAUGAAGAAAAACACAAAAUAACAAAGAUAAAAAUAAAUAAAGGCCGUGUCUUUAGGUACAUUAGAUUGAUGAACAAUGGAAGCAGAGAAAAAAAUGAAAAUGAGGGUGAGCUAAAGUCAUGCUUUGAGCACUGAUGGGUAGGGACAAGUGAAGCAAAGAUGGCGGUCCUGUCAAAAGAGCUCAACUAGAAUAGCUUAGUGUAUAGAAGGGUUUUUUUAAAUAGUAAGUUGGCUUAGCAAGAAUGAAAUAAAAAUAGGUGCCUUAUUACAUUGGCUUAAGAUUAUUAGUUCUCAUUUGAGGAUAAGAGGAGUUGAAUCAAAAGCUAUAAUAUUUCAAAAUGGCGUGUCAUAUGCCAUUUUAAGUCAAUCAGAGAAAGAAAAUUAUAUGGUUUCACUCAUAUGUGGAAAAUAAGAAACAGUGCAGAGGAAAUUGGGGUAAGGGAGGGAAAGCAGAAUGCAAAGUCAUCAGAAGGGGAGAAAAAACCAUGAGAGACUCUUAACGGAAGGAAACCAAAUGAGGGUUGCUGGAGGGGAGGUAGGUAGAGGUAUGGGGCAAGGGUGAUGAGCAUUAAAAAGGGCACAUGAUGUGAUGAGCACUGGGUGUUAUACGCAAUUGAUGAAUUAUUGAAUACUACAUCUGAAAAUAAUGAUGUACUAUAUGUUAGCUAAUUAAAUUUAAAUUAAAAAAUUAAGUUAAUUAGUUAAUAAAUUAAUAAGACGCCAUCAUACUUUCUAAAAUGCAAGUCUUCAAAGCUGCAUAUAAAUGUCUUACCAAUUUACAUACACUACAAAAAUCAUAGUUGCAGCAUCAUAAAACUUAGAAUAAUAGCAAUGGUUUUUAAUAUACUCAUAUCAAAUAUUAUUUUAAGAUAUUCCCCCAUAUAGAAAUCUAUUAUAAUCACUUAGUGAUAUAUAUUCCACAAGGGCAGGGUCUUUCCAAUUUUUUAAUGUGCAUAAAUUAUUUUCAAAAAUAUGUUUAAUUUAGAAUUUUACAAUUUACACUCAUGGUAAAAAUGAAAUACUUUAGACUAUUUUUGACAGAUAACAUCUUUUCUUACUACUAGAUUCAAUGACCUAGAUAGUAAUAAUUGGAUAGAAAAUAAUUCAGCAAACAUUUCACUUGGGAAAGAAAGGAAAAAUUCUCUGAAUGAAGGAGAGUAUAUUUUAUCUCACCACCAUAUCAACUUUGAUUUUUGAUGUCCCUAUUUACUUUCCAACUUAUCAAGUAACAUCAAAUAAAUCAAAAUAUUUGCUAUUGAAAGCCCUGGUUGGCAUUUGGUCUAAUAUUUUUAGCCAUGUUCUUGUACUUGGGAAUCCAGCAGAUUUUUUCCCUUUAUUAUCUAGCUCUCCCUUUACAUUUUCAGAAAGCUGCAUUAUUUUAUCCCUAGUAUCUGCUGUCAAUAAAAUUGAAUCCAUUCUUGUCUACUGGUCUUUUGUUACUCAGUAGUUUGAGUUAGUAGUUGCUCGUCUUCUUUUCAUAUUUCUGACCCUUUUUUUCUUCUUAUACGUUGUCUAGUGUUAGGAGACACACUGAUAUAGGGAAUUAUAAAAGAAAAAAAAUAAAAUAACAGGAAAGGAAGGGAAAAAAUAAAGCCUACAGUGCAGAAGUUGCUUUCUGGCAGCAAUAGAAUUACAGAGAAAAGAAAAAGUUGAAAUCUGACAGGAUUAGCCUGCUGACUUGCUGAGUUUAUAUGAGCCCUGUAAAGAAUACCAAUGAGAGAAAAAAUAGAAGCUAGAAGACAAUGUUAUAAAUCUCACCCACAGACUUCUUUACCAAGAGUUGGGAAAUAAAAAGUUCUGGAUACCAUUAAUGGUUAGAAUGUCACCAAAAAGAAUCAGUUUGGCAUCUGCUUCUCGGUUCAAAAUUAACAUAAACACUGGAGGUGAGGUGCUUUGUAAAAUACUUAUGUGAAGUGCAGCAGAACAACGUGGACCUCUUCUCCCUUCUGACACCUGGGAAAUAUACUAAAUGGGACUGGAACUAGUAACACACAUGUAAAAACUACUGAGUUAGUCUACCUAGUGUGAGAACUAGUAACAAUUUCCCCAGGAUUGAAAGACUUGGGAUAGACAGAAUAUAUACUGAAAAAAUAACAUCAAGUUUUUAUUUAUUUAUUUAUUUAUUUAUUUAUUUAUUUAUUUAUUUAUUUUUACAUCAAGUUUUUAAAGGGUUUAAAAAUCAAUUAUGUGGCUUCAUUUUUCUAGAAAGUGCAUCCAAUUGAUAGAAGCAGGUAAGCAUUAUUGGGAAGAUCCUAAUGGUGUAACACUUCUGAUGUCUGUAACAACAUUUAUUUUCCAUCUGUGUCUUAGUACUCCAAAAUCAUCACACAUAGGCUAUCUCUCAUAAUAAAUGAAGACGUGUUUGAUACGUAGCCUGGCAAUACCACUACAGAAUGUGGAUUGUCUUUCAAACUUGUCUCUGUGGUUAGUAAUAUAUAGUACAUCCUAGAUGUUUGAACACUCAGACAGAAGAUAACAGAUUAUUUCAGAAAGCACAUAUAAAUUAGAAGAGAACUCCUGAUAGCAAGAUUAUCUGCUUGGUCCUGGCACUAAGCAAAGCUCUCUGAAGGAUACUCAGGCUGUAUUAGGUGGCUGACCGUGCAGGAAGGAAUAGUGAAAGAAUUGAGAAGUAUAUUAUUUCAAAUUUAGUAGCACCAGUUACAGCCAACUCCCGAGGCAGCAUUUUCAGAUGAAUUUAAUAGGGGGAAAAUAUUUUUUUAAGAGACCAAAAGAAAGAGAUGUUUAUAGAUUCAUAUAAAAGUAUUUAAAAGCUUUUCUUUAAUCUUCCCACUGUACUUCAUGAUCCUAAAUAAAACAAACAGAUAUCAUCCAUGUAAUUUCUCAUAAUCUUCCAACAGUUUCAUUAGCAUUAUUUCUCUUGUUCUUUAUCAUCAGGGUUAGGGAUAUCGAUGUUCAACAAGGGGGAGGCUAAGUCACUGGAAAUCUAACUGAAUGAAUUAAGGCCAACUGAGUCCCAACAGAGCUUGGACUCACACCAUAGACUUCUCAGUCUAGUGUCUUUUGCUCAAUACAUGGACCAUGCAGUCUUGAAAGACCAUAUAAACCUAUAAAAAGAAUGAUUUAUAGCCAGGUAUUCAUUUUAAGUAGAGUUAAUUUCAUUGUUGUAAAUUAUUUUAAAUGUCUGCUCCACUUGGACAUCAUAAUUACUUUCAUUAGUAAAUAAAUUUGCAUUUUGAAGUAGAGAUUACAUGGGUAAUAUUUUCCUGUUUGCAGGUAAUUUACUGCCAGGGGAGAUUCUCUCAUUCUACAGUAAUAAUCCUCUUAAACUUGCUCUAGCAACACUGGAAAUCAGAAUACAGCUUGCCUUUAGUGAACUUAAAUUG